GCAACUCGCCUGCAUGAAGUUGGAAUUGCUAGUAAUCGCGAAUCAGAAUGUCGCGGUGAAUACGUUCCCGGGCCUUGUACACACCGCCCGUCACACCAUGAGAGCCGAUAACACCCGAAGCCUGUGAGCUAAACCGGUAAGGGGGCAGCAGUCGAAGGUGGGGUUGGUGAUUGGGGUGAAGUCGUAACAAGGUAAC
This 196-nucleotide ribosomal RNA is filed under the name uncultured bacterium. Its description in RNAcentral is "partial 16S ribosomal RNA". It matches the Rfam family "Bacterial small subunit ribosomal RNA", at positions 1307 to 1500 of the family's 1533-position model. The record is from RNAcentral.